GCCUGGGUGGCUCAGUCAGUUAAGUGUCUGACUUCAGCUCAGGUCAUGAUCUCACAGUUCGUGGGUUCAAGCCCCGCAUCGGGCU
RNAcentral lists this transfer RNA (85 nucleotides) under Felis catus (domestic cat). It matches the Rfam family "tRNA". Rfam says of the family: Transfer RNA (tRNA) molecules are approximately 80 nucleotides in length. Their secondary structure includes four short double-helical elements and three loops (D, anti-codon, and T loops). The record is from Rfam by way of RNAcentral. Lineage: Eukaryota; Metazoa; Chordata; Mammalia; Carnivora; Felidae.